Long non-coding RNA from Pectinophora gossypiella (pink bollworm), 1239 nucleotides. RefSeq lists it as uncharacterized. NCBI's taxonomy places the organism in Eukaryota, Metazoa, Arthropoda, Insecta, Lepidoptera, Gelechiidae. The transcript is spliced from 3 exons. The record is from RefSeq and is a predicted model, not a curated record.
AGCGUUAAGUUUCUCUGGCCAGUAGGACCGUGUCCCCGUCACCAACCAGUCGCUGAAUUUGUUUUUUCGGAGUGUCUUUUCAAAUUUUUCCCAAAACCAGAGUGUGUCAAUGACAAAAUCGAAGAGAAAGUUUGCGAUCACCGACAAAUUUCUUCCAAGGCUCGCGAAGAACCUGUGCACCAGAAAGGGCAGCCGCCGCGCUAACACCGGUAACCGCUUGGAACACGCGGUUCUAACCCACAUCCAGCACGUGCCGUAGACAACCAGCACUCGCUCCCCCACCAUCAUCCAUCUUCUUUCCACCGGCGUCAGCAAGGCAGAGAGACAGAGACAGCAAUGGCCCGUGGUGACGAGUGUAAAACCGCCAACAAGGCUAACUACGCCUGCAAGUCGUUUGAUGUUACGGCUCCUGUCAAGAAACCAGUAACUACCCUCCAAACUUCUAGCUACAAGCCGGCAAAACAAGAGCAGAAGAACUACGGAUCGUGGGGCCCCAUCUUUAAGGACAAGAAGUCCUUCACCGAUAUGCACCUCUGCUGAGCCGCCGCCGGAUCAUCGCUUCGCUUCAUCAUCAUCGUCACGAAUAUUUAGGUUUACAGUCUCAAGGUGCUCUGUGGAUGACCCAUAGUUAGAUCCUUAUUGCUUUAAAUUAGAACCAAUAGAUAAUUAAUCUAAUAACUAAUUUGGACUUGUUAUGACAAAGUUCUAAGCCCUUCUUUUCGCGUUCCAUCUUAAAAUGUUUUGUGGAGUCCUCGUGAAUUCUAUUGGAACCUUAUCGCUGUACCUUAGAAUCAGUGGGGAUUGCAUUUUAAGAGUUUUUAUUGUGGAUAAGUAUGCCAAGAAAAGGUUGUAAUCAUCUUUCCACAAUACUAUUAAGUUUGCCAACUUUUGAAAUCCACUGUGUACUGAAUCCUCCAAUAAUCGCUCUUUUUGUCAUGUCUUGUCAUAAAUUUAGCUCUAUGUAGUUUAUUUGCGAUAUCUGUGUAUGCCCUCACAACAAGUUUCGAUAGAGUUUCCAGAACAUAUUUUUAAUAAAAAACGAUCUAAGUAAUAUUAUGUCUUCGAAUAAAGAUGUCGUCAAUAUAAUGAAAACCUGUGUUUGUGACGAGCUUACUCUCUCUGUCGCAUUUCUUUGGGGUAGGGUCUUGCGUUACUAAUAUGCCAUGUAUUUCAUUUUAACAGAUUAAAUUCAUCAGCAUUCGAUCAGAUUUUUUUGUUAAUAUAUUACUAUUAUUAUAA